ACCCGCUGAACUUAAGCAUAUCAAUAAGCGGAGGAAAAGAAACCAACAGGGAUUGCCCUAGUAACGGCGAGUGAAGCGGCAACAGCUCAAAUUUGAAAUCUGGCUUCGGCCCGAGUUGUAAUUUGUAGAGGAUGCUUUGGGCGCGGCUCUAACUGAGUUCCCUGGAACGGGACGCCACAGAGGGUGAGAGCCCCGUAUAGUUAGAUGCCUAGCCUAUGUAAAGCUCCUUCGACGAGUCGAGUAGUUUGGGAAUGCUGCUCUAAAUGGGAGGUAAAUUUCUUCUAAAGCUAAAUAUUGGCCAGAGACCGAUAGCGCACAAGUAGAGUGAUCGAAAGAUGAAAAGCACUUUGAAAAGAGGGUUAAAUAGCACGUGAAAUUGUUGAAAGGGAAGCGCUUGUGACCAGACUUGCGCCGGGCAGAUCAUCCGGUGUUCUCACCGGUGCACUCUGCCCGGCUCAGGCCAGCAUCGGUUCUCGUGGGGGGAUAAAGGUCCCGGGAACGUAGCUCCUCCGGGAGUGUUAUAGCCCGGGGCGUAAUGCCCUCGUGGGGACCGAGGUUCGCGCAUCUGCAAGGAUGCUGGCGUAAUGGUCAUCAGCGACCCGUCUUGAAACACGG
Molecule: ribosomal RNA, 615 nt
Filed under: uncultured fungus
Lineage: Eukaryota; Fungi
Description: LSU rRNA
Rfam family: Eukaryotic large subunit ribosomal RNA
Source: RNAcentral